CCUAUGGGGCGCAGCAGGCGCGAAAACUUCACACUGUGCGAAGGCACGAUGAGGGAAUCCCAAGUGCCAACUCGUAAGAGUUGGCUGUUUCUCUGUCUAAAAAAUAGAGAGAUUAAGAGC
This 120-nucleotide ribosomal RNA is filed under the name uncultured archaeon. Its description in RNAcentral is "partial 16S ribosomal RNA". It matches the Rfam family "Archaeal small subunit ribosomal RNA", at positions 322 to 442 of the family's 1478-position model. The record is from RNAcentral.